GAUACCCGCUGAACUUAAGCAUAUCAAUAAGCGGAGGAAAAGAAACCAACAGGGAUUGCCCCAGUAACGGCGAGUGAAGCGGCAAAAGCUCAAAUUUGAAAUCUGGCACUGUCGGUGUCCGAGUUGUAAUUUGGAGAGGCAUCUUCCGGAGGGGCCCAGCCUAUGUUCCUUGGAACAGGACGUCAUAGAGGGUGAGAAUCCCGUUCAUGGCUGGAUGUAUCCUUCAGUAGGCAGUGCUUUCUACGAGUCGAGUUGUUUGGGAAUGCAGCUCAAAAUGGGUGGUAAAUUUCAUCUAAAGCUAAAUAUUGGCGAGAGACCGAUAGCGCACAAGUAGAGUGAUCGAAAGAUGAAAAGCACUUUGAAAAUAGAGUCAAACAGUACGUGAAAUUGUUGAAAGGGAAGCGCUUGAGACCAGACUCAGCCUUUGGCAAACAACUAUCCUUCUGGGUGGUGCACUUGUCCUUGGCUGGGCCAGCAUCAGUUAGGACGGUGGAAUAAAGGCUUGGGGAAUGUGACUCCACUUAGGAGUGUUAUAGCCCUGAAUGUCAGUCCCGCCUGUCCUGACUGUGGACCGCGCUUUGGCUAGGAUGCUGGCAUAAUGGUCUUUAGCGGCCCGUCUUGAAACACGGACCAAGGAGUCUAACAUCUAUGC
This 652-nucleotide ribosomal RNA is filed under the name uncultured Tuberaceae. RNAcentral describes it as "eukaryotic LSU rRNA". It matches the Rfam family "Eukaryotic large subunit ribosomal RNA", at positions 21 to 687 of the family's 3401-position model. The record is from RNAcentral. Lineage: Eukaryota; Fungi; Ascomycota; Pezizomycetes; Pezizales; Tuberaceae.